This 503-nucleotide ribosomal RNA is filed under the name uncultured bacterium. Its description in RNAcentral is "partial 16S ribosomal RNA". It matches the Rfam family "Bacterial small subunit ribosomal RNA", at positions 30 to 523 of the family's 1533-position model. The record is from RNAcentral.
AUUGAACGCUGGCGGCAGGCUUAACACAUGCAAGUCGAGCGGGGUGAUGGUGCUUGCACUAUCACUUAGCGGCGGACGGGUGAGUAAUGCUUAGGAAUCUGCCUAUUAGUGGGGGACAACAUCUCGAAAGGGAUGCUAAUACCGCAUACGUCCUACGGGAGAAAGCAGGGGAUCACUUGUGACCUUGCGCUAAUAGAUGAGCCUAAGUCGGAUUAGCUAGUUGGUGGGGUAAAGGCCUACCAAGGCGACGAUCUGUAGCGGGUCUGAGAGGAUUAUCCAGCACACUGGGACUGAGACACGGCCCAGGCUCCUACGGGAGGCAGCAGUGGGGAAUAGUGGACAAUGGGGGGAACCCUGAUCCAGCCAUGCCGCGUGUGUGAAGAAGGCCUUAUGGAUGUAAAGCACUUUAAGCGAGGAGGAGGCUCUUUUGGUUAAUACCCAAGAUGAGUGGACGUUACUCGCAGAAUAAGCACCGGCUAACUCUGUGCCAGCUGCCGCCGUAA